CCCAUACAAAAAUAUUACUCAUUUUUCCUCAUCUUUGCCUUAAGUGCUGGGAUACGGAAGCGGAUAGAGAUAGGAAACAAAAUCUAAGAUGAAACCAAAAUUAAUAAGUCUAGUAAGAACGUGUCUGGCGAAAAGAGAAAAUUGAAAGAGGAUGACAAUAACAAUGAUUGCAGGUCAGUUGAAUUCAUUCUUCUGUCUUCAAUCUGGGAUGAUACUCUUCUUUCCAGUUCUCUUUGAUUUUUUUUGCAGGUAGGUAGGACGGCAGGGCAAUUUGGAAAGCCAAGGUCAGACCCAUUUCAGAUUAAAGACGGAGUUAAGUUACCGAGUUAUCGAGGAGAUAAUGUGAAUGGCGAUGCUUUUGAUGAGAAAUCUAUAGUACCUGACCCUCAAAGAUUGAUUAGAGCUUAUCUUCAAUCUGUUGGUAAAAACAUGUAGUGCAGUGAAGAUUUUAGCAUUGAUCCCAUGUGUACACACUGUCCUAAUUUAGCUCCAAACGGAUUGAUGAAAAUGUUCAGAGGGAAAUCAUUAACCACCGAUCUUUAAGACAUCCAAACAUAAUCAUGUUUAAAGAGGUUUUGGUGACUCCAACACAUUUAGCUAUUGUUAUGGAGUAUGCUUCCGAAGGUGAACUCUUUGAGAGAAUAUGCAUCGCCAGUCGAUUUAGCGAAGACGAACUGAGUUUCUAUCCACAUUCAAUUGAAUGAGCUAAUCUUUCUUUCUCUCUUGUCUCGAAAUUAUUUUGAAUUCAUGUUUACUUACGAAAUUUGUUUGUCGAAAGGCAAGGUUUUUCUUACAGUAGUUAAUAUCUGGAGUCAGCUACUGUCAUUCAAUGGGAAGUUAUAAAAAUAUAAGUAACCCUUUGAGAUUCUGUUUGAUGGUUACUUUCAUGCCUCAUUCUAUAGUUCUGCUUCAGCAAAUUUGUCACAGGGAUCUGAAACUAUAAAACACACUCCUGGAUGGAAGUCUGACACCACGACUUAAAAUAUGUGACUUCGGAUACUCCAAGGUUCAUUUCCAAAUUCGAAAUAAACACUAUCUUUCAUGGAAUCUGCUAUUCUUACUCUAUUUUUCAAUGUUCAGUUCUCUAAUUUCUUUACUGAACAGUCUGAAGUGUUGCAUUCACAACCAAAAUCAACUGUUGGAACACCGGUGUAUAUUGCCCCGGAAGUCCUAUCACGAAAGGAAUACGACGGGAAGGUAUAAAUUUUUCUGUUUUCUAAUCAAAUGUAACACAGACAUUCAACCUCGGAUAUAAAUUUGUGCUUGAUGCAUAGAUAAUCUCUUCCUUAUUAUUUGGUUAAUUUGAUCAUUUGCUAGCUGUUGUAGAUUGCAGAUGUUUGGUCCUGUGGUGUGACAUUAUACAUGAUGUUGGUUGGAUCAUACCCUUUUGAGGAUUCCGAUGAUCCUCGGAAUUUCUGUAAGACCAUCGGAGUAAGUUCUCAAUUCUGUCUCUUACAUGAGCUAUGAUUUCCAUUUUCCUUAUUGAUUUUGUUGUAACAGAGAAUAAUGAGUGUUCAAUACAAUAUACCCGACUAUGUAAGAGUGUUUGUGGAUUGCCGACAUCUUCUUUCCCAUUUCUUCGUUUCCAUUCCUGCCAAUUUAUAACUUAUUUUUCUUAUUUUUAUACUUCGAAGUUCAACAAAAACCUUAGUUGUAUAUAAUUGAAAUGAUAUACACACUUUGAUUACAUAUAGAGGAUUAGCAUCCCGGAGAUUAAGCAGCAUCCUUGAUUUCUGAAAAAAUUUAUCGAAAUAACUGGUGGAAAUCGAAAAAACAAACUUUGCGGAAUUAGAACACGGUCAACUGUCUCAAAGUGUAGAAGAAAUAAUGCGUAUCAUACAGGAUGCAAGACAACAAUAGCCGAAGGAGCCGAAGUUGGUGAACAAGCAGUUGUUGGUUCAUCCGACCUGAUGCUGCUGAAGGGGAUUUAGAAUCUGAAAUCGAUGUCAGUGGUGACUUUGAUGCCACUGUGUGAGAACAUGAUGUUUAAGUUGUUGAAGAAAAUUUGGUGUGUAGUUUCUUUGGGAUUACAGUUUAGGUAAGCAUUUUUAUCAUACUGGAAAAUGUGUACAGCAGACUGACACCGAAUUGGAGUUAUGUUGCCUUUGUGUGUGUGUGUGAUGAAUGUCUCAUAUUGUAGAUUGCAUACUUUGUGGAACAUUGUAUUGUUUUGCAUUACUUUGUAUGCUAACAAUAUUACAGUCGGAUUUUGUAAUCAAUCCAGUUGUUUAUCGAACAUGCAACCUAUCUAACACAUGGCAUUACUGGUUCUCACUUUUUGUCCUCUUCUAGUCCGUAGUAAGUCACAUAGUAGCCUUUUUUCCAUCUGCUGUAAAAUAAAUGGAAUAUUUGAACUCUUUGCUCGGCCUUUUGUUUUGUGUGUUUAUGUCCUUUUGUGCUGUUUGUAACUGUUGGAAGAAAAGCUGAAUGCUUUGUGUUUGGUGUCGAAGUUAAACUGAAGAAUCUGGGGUCUAUUUCUUCUCUUGGGGUUUAUCUUUGUUUUUGAGGUUUCACAUUCUUUUAUAUAUAUUACCUAUAGAUU
This is a long non-coding RNA of Hibiscus syriacus, 2542 nucleotides long. RefSeq lists it as uncharacterized. The record is from RefSeq and is a predicted model, not a curated record. NCBI's taxonomy places the organism in Eukaryota, Viridiplantae, Streptophyta, Magnoliopsida, Malvales, Malvaceae. The transcript has 4 exons.